AUUCAUAAUUCUAGACCAACUUGACAACACUUAAUUCUUUUAAUUAAGUAUUUGGACUGAUGGGUCAGGGUUUGGCUUUUCGAAAAUAAUUUUUAAAUUUGAAAGGUUUUAUUUUUUAUUUACCAAAUAUGUUGACUCAUUUCACAAAUAGAUCAGCACAUUUCAUAAAUAGUAAUCCUAUUGCUAAUUACAUAACAGAAAAUAACUCAAUCAAAAUAAAUCAUGAAUAUUUCUUUAGAUCUAAUCUAACACAUUCAUGAUAAAUUUUAUAAUUGAACCUUUACAAUUAAGUCCUUUCGCUACUUCAUC
RNAcentral lists this long non-coding RNA (309 nucleotides) under Elaeis guineensis (African oil palm). Its description in RNAcentral is "long non-coding RNA (EGUI_LNC046062)". Lineage: Eukaryota; Viridiplantae; Streptophyta; Magnoliopsida; Arecales; Arecaceae. The record is from RNAcentral.